This 492-nucleotide ribosomal RNA is filed under the name uncultured bacterium. RNAcentral describes it as "partial 16S ribosomal RNA". It matches the Rfam family "Bacterial small subunit ribosomal RNA", at positions 29 to 507 of the family's 1533-position model. The record is from RNAcentral.
AAUGAACGCUGGCGGUAUGCCUAACACAUGCAAGUCGAACGGCAGCACAGUAAGAGCUUGCCCUUACGGGUGGCGAGUGGCGGACGGGUGAGGAAUACAUAGGCAUCUACUUUUUCGUGGGGGAUAACGUAGGGAAACUUACGCUAAUACCGCAUACGACCUACGGGUGAAAGCAAGGGAUCUUCGGACCUUGCGCGAUUCAAUGAGCCGAUGUCGGAUUAGCUAGUUGGCGGGGUAAAGGCCCACCAAGGCGACGAUCCGUAGCUGGUCUGAGAGGAUGAUCAGCCACACUGGAACUGAGACACGGUCCAGACUCCUACGGGAGGCAGCAGUGGGGAAUAUUGGACAAUGGGCGCAAGCCUGAUCCAGCCAUACCGCGUGGGUGAAGAAGGCCUUCGGGUUGUAAAGCCCUUUUGUUGGGAAAGAAAAGCAGCAGGUUAAUACCCCGCUGUUCUGACGGUACCCAAAGAAUAAGCACCGGCUAACUUCGUG